GUCUGUACAUUAAUGGUCCCCAUGGUCUACUCAUUGUCGUCUGCACAUUAACACCCCCUUAGUCAACUCAAUGUAGUCUGCACAUUAAUGGCUCCCAUAAUCUACUCAUUGUGGUCUACACAUUAAUGGCCCCCAUGGUCAACCCUUUGUGGUCUGUACAUUAAUGGCCUCCAUGGACUACUCAUUGUGGUCUGUACAUUA
Non-coding RNA from Biomphalaria pfeifferi, 201 nucleotides. NCBI's taxonomy places the organism in Eukaryota, Metazoa, Mollusca, Gastropoda, Planorbidae. The record is from the annotation of a GenBank genome assembly.